UUUAAAUUUAUAAUAUGACAGCCGCAAAGAAAACUUUGCCUCUCUCUUCCCUCUCUUCUCUACUUUCUGUCGCAAAACUUUGUGAAAGCUAAUUGCAUGUUUUCGUAAUUGUUAAUUUAUGAUAUUGUUAAUUUAUACAUAAAUUUCUACAUCAAAGGCAAGUACCUGUGCGAUGUUUCUGAUGUCCCGGUGAUAAAUAUGCACUACGUUUAUGCAUUAUAAACUAUACAAGGCUAUCUUCUGUCAUACAAAGAUAAUUAAAGGGAGACCUAGAAAGUUGUAAUUACAUGACGAACGAUCGACGAUUCAACCGAAAGAAGUUUAAAUUGCACAUGAUAUAUUAUGCACGCCAGUGUAUGGUGCUACUGGUAAAAAUGAUAAAUGGAUAAGCAGAUCAUCGAUGGAAUGACAAGGUGCAGUAUUAUCAAAUAUUUCAGGCCGAUAGAACAGAACGUUCGCGAGCCUCUCUAUCGAUGAAAAGCACAACGUUGACUAUUAAAAUAUCGUUUUAAGCGAUAGUGGACUAAUAAUAAUAGUAGAUAGUAGAUUAAUAGUAAAGAAGUUAUUAAAAAAAUUAGAUAUUUGAUCAACUACAUAUUUUCGUUGCAGCUGACUUUCAAUUCGUUCCACGUGACAAAUGGAACAUCCGUAUUACAUUUUACAUAGCUGUAACGUAUUAAUUUAUCCAGGACAGUUACGUAUCUGUAUUAUUGUAUAUUAUUAUUAAGAAUUAAACGUAAAGAAAUCUUCCAUAAAUAAAGGGGAUUUAUGGAAAAAUUUAUGGAAACAAAUUUAUGAAGAGAAAUUCUUUCUAAUAACUGGUUAUUGUGUCUGUUAGUCGUUAUUAUGACUGUGCAAUGAUAAGAUGAAGUGAGAUAUACGCGAGAACACAGCUCAGAGAACCUAUCUAUAAUUACGAAUUAAUUACGUGUCAUAUAUUCUUGUUCUUACUAGCGAAAAUAAUUAGUUAGCCAACGGAAUGGAUUUUCGAGACUUGAAUCCUUUCAACAUAUUUUUAAGUACGCUUUCGGCGAAUGUUUUGCCGAUGUCGAGUAAAGAAACGAAAUUACCCAUCUUUUUAAAAAUCUACUCGAUCGUCAUUUGGUUAAUAGAACUGACAUAUUUUAUUGUUUGUGUUGUCGGAAUUUUGACUGUAUCGAGGGAAAAAGCACUGAAGGAUGGAACGGUAAACCUUGUGAUCGCGAUAGAAGUGCUCGUGCUAAUGAUUUAUAUGCAUAAUCGUAAGAAUUUACUACGUGGAUUAAUUGGAAAAUUAAACCAUCUCAUCGAGGGCAAUAAAAUACUUCGGAAUAUGAUAGUUAACGCACUGGAACCAAUGGAAAAGCCGUUGAAAAUUUAUACGGUUGCCAGUGUUGGUUCGCUCGCUCUUUGGAUAUCAUUGCCGCUUAUCGAAGUUUUCCGGAAGAAUGAGUUCCGUUAUUCGGAUUAUCGAGUGCCAUUCGUUCUAUCCAAGGAACCUUUCCCACUCAACGUUUUCGUUGGCGGUGUCAUCUUCCAGGUAGUCGGCGGUACAUACACGCUAAUCAGAAAAAUUAGUUUGGAUAUCUACACAAUGUACAUCAUUCUGUUAACGACGGCUCAAUACAAGUAUCUUCGAAUGAAAUUUGCGACGAUAUUCGAACAGAAACCCGAAACUUUAAACGAUAUUACCCGGCAGAAUGUCUCCCUUAGGAACAAACGGAUGAUCCAGGAAAUGAGACUGUUGACCCGCCAUUACGAAACUGUAGUUGAGAUUGCUGUUACGUUGAAGAAAUUGCUUUUUCUAAACGUCGGAGUUCAUUACAUAAACAACGUUUUCCGGUUCUGCUUUCUAAGUUUUAUGUUCGUAAUGGUAUAUUUUAAGUUCCAACUUUUUAAUACAGAAUUUUGUUUCCUAGCAAAUUCUGCUUCUCCUGUUACUGCUUAUCUUGUACAGAGAACAACUAUUUAUUUUUUCAGAGUACUAAUAUGUUUUCCGAAAAAUGUUUAGUUAUAUUGUAUACAAUUGGUGCGCUGAUACAAUUUUAUAUAUUGUGCUACUCUAUUCAAGAGCUACUCGACGCGUAAUGGCAAUGCGAUAAACAAGAAAGGCUCUAUACACAUACAUAAGCAUUAAAUUUAUAUACAUCCAUGAAUUUUAAUAAUAUCACGUGUACAAACGAAUAACCAAAAUUUUGUUUAAACGUAAAAACAUUGACAGUAAAAUGAAAUGGUUCCUACGCCCUUUUUUUCGCUGCGUAUUGUUAAUAUCUUACUAUUGAAAACGACACUUUAUUUGUCGAUAAUGGAAGAAACAACGGAAGAAAGUGCAUAUUUGUCGCUGUAUCUUUCAUAAAUUCUCACAAGGAAAAAAAUGCUGAAUAAAACAUGCGAUUUGAUUUGUAACUUUCUCGGUGGAGAUAUUGUAUCGUACGAUGAGUGUGCGUUUUGGUUUAAACGGUUUGAGAAGCGGCGUCUUCUGUCACGAAAGUGCGAUCACGACGAUUUUAAAAACAACUACUGACUCAGAGUUCAAUAUAAACGCAAAAGCAGCUUGCGGAGCUUUUGUGAAAGGUAAUACAGCAAAUUAUUCGAAUCACCUGCACGAAGUGGAAAAGAUCCAGAGAAAAGAGAGGUGGGAGUCCUAUAGGAUUGCCGCGUGAUAGCGCCAGCAGACCUUAGAGGUUGCUUUUGAUGCAAAAGACAUCGCAACGAGUCUCAGAUGGGAAGUUACGCAAUAUCUGGUAUAUUCAGCUGACAUUGCUCCAUCAAACUAACAAACACCUGUUUCGGUCGAUGUAGCCAUAAAAAUAAACCAUUUGAUGAAAUAUAAAGAUAGCUGGACAACUUCAUCGUAUCAAAAGGCAUAUUCUUUCAAAGUGGAAUUGCCCGAAAUACGACUUAAAGUUAUAGAAAACGAUGGUGGUUAUUUCGAUCGGAAAAUUUGUCUCACUCUUUUUAAUCUUGAACCUUUAAAUCUUGAAUCUGUGAAAAAAUUGAAUUAUUCAUUUGUACACCUAAUAUAGUUUGUGUAAUAAGAUUAAUAUAUUUACACGUACUAAUGCCUUAUAUAUACAUAUAUAAUUGUACAACGUACUAAUAUCCAUCCGAAAUUCUUAGAGCAACGCUGUAGCUGACGAUGUAAUAUAUGAAAAGUGGUA
RNA transcript from Bombus pyrosoma, 3140 nucleotides. RefSeq lists it as uncharacterized. NCBI's taxonomy places the organism in Eukaryota, Metazoa, Arthropoda, Insecta, Hymenoptera, Apidae. The transcript is spliced from 3 exons. The record is from RefSeq and is a predicted model, not a curated record.